ACGGGAGGCAGCAGUGGGGAAUAUUGGGCAAUGGGCGAAAGCCUGACCCAGCGACGCCGCGUGAGGGAAGAAGGUCUUCGGAUUGUAAACCUCUUUCAGCAGGGAAGAAGUAUGACGGUACCUGCAGAAGAAGUCACGGCUAACUACGUGCCAGCAGCCGCGGUAAUACGUAGGUGGCGAGCGUUAUCCGGAAUUACUGGGUGUAAAGGGUGUGUAGGCGGAGAAGCAAGUCAGGCGUGAAAUUCAGAGGCUCAACCUCUGGACUGCGCUUGAAACUGUUUCCCUUGAGUGUGGGAGAGGUAAACGGAAUUCCUGGUGUAGUAGUGAAAUGCGUAGAUAUCAGGAGGAACACCGGUGGCGAAGGCGGUUUACUGGACCACAACUGACGCUGAGACACGAAAGCGUGGGGAGCAAACAGGAUUAGAUACCCUGGUA
This 435-nucleotide ribosomal RNA is filed under the name uncultured Oscillospiraceae bacterium. RNAcentral describes it as "partial 16S ribosomal RNA". It matches the Rfam family "Bacterial small subunit ribosomal RNA", at positions 341 to 792 of the family's 1533-position model. Lineage: Bacteria; Bacillati; Bacillota; Clostridia; Eubacteriales; Oscillospiraceae. The record is from RNAcentral.